This is an RNA transcript of Numida meleagris (helmeted guineafowl), 3129 nucleotides long. It is a transcript of the gene named solute carrier family 46 member 3, with no coding region annotated. The record is from RefSeq and is a predicted model, not a curated record. Lineage: Eukaryota; Metazoa; Chordata; Aves; Galliformes; Numididae. The transcript has 6 exons.
CCGCCCGUCGCUUCAUGUCGCGCAGUGCGGGACAUAAACACGGCGCGGCGUGACCUCCGGGGGACGGGGGAGGGGUUCGGCCCGGCUGGGAUACGGCACCGACGGCCAGGACAGGGCAGCGGGCCGGUGGGGACGGGAAGGAGGAGGCGUUGGGGCAGGCGGAGGGCCGAGUGCCGCGCUCCUUCCUCCUGCAGGUUGGAUGGUGGUUUCCCUUCGUCUGGUCGAUCAUUGUGACGUUUUAUUUUCUCUGCUGAAGAGAGUUAAAAGCAGGAUCGAGAAAUGAGGAGGGUUUUCCUUGUGGAGCCGGUCAUUUUCAUCUACAUAUUUGCUCAUUCCCUGAUGAACCCGGUGGUGCAGCAGUUCAUUUACCGAAAGCUGUGGGAAGAGGAGUACAACUCCACCGCCAUAAGCAGCGACAACAGCAGUCACUGUGAGCAAAACAAAAGCAGCCCAACUUAUGUCAUGCAGAAGGGAGUUCAAGAGAAGACUUCUCUUUUUAAUAUGCAGCUGGACUUAACAGGGGCAGUUCCCAGCCUGAUAGUUGCCUUUAUCAUCGUAGCUAAUGGGGAUCGCCAGGGACGAAAAAAGUCUUUGGUUUUACCAUCAAUUGGAGCUUUGAUUGCAGAUAUUUUCCUCACUAUAAUAUCACAUUUUUCCUUGUCAACCUCUGUCCUGUUUGUGGUUUCAUUUAUUUCGGGACUGUUUGGGAGUAUGGCGACUUUCCUUGGAGGAGGCUUUGCUUAUAUAGCAGAUCAGUGUCACGAUGAGAAGCAGAAAACUACACGAAUAGCUGUGGUUGAUUUAAUUUUUGGAAUUGUAUCUGGAUUGGCAGGACUGUCUUCUGGGUACUUUUUAAGAGAAAUAGGCUUUACGUGGACAUUUGUGAUAGCAUCUCUACUUCAUGUUGUUAACAUUAUCUAUAUUAUUUUUUUUUUGGAAGACACAGUGCACAUAUCUGAAUUCCAGCAACAGGCACCAUUAUCUUAUAAAGAACUUCUAAAAGAAGCAUUUUCUGGAGUGUACAUGCUUUUUAAAACUGCCCCGUCCAAAAAGAGAAUUUUAAUCAUUGUGUUACUUUUUACAUUUAUGACUUAUUUAUUUACUGUCUUUGGUGGGAGUUCACUUUUUACGCUGUAUGAACUGGAUGAGCCGCUGUGCUGGAAUGAAGUGUACAUUGGAUACGGAGCAGCUGCAUUCACUUCUGUCUCUCUGACCAGUUUUUUGGGAGUUUAUUUAUUUUCUAAAUGUCUCAAAGACAUUUACAUUGUAUUUAUUGGGAUAUUUUCUUACAUUGGAGGAAUUGUCAUGGCUGCCUUUGCCAAAACAACCCUGCUCAUGUUUUUAGUAAGAGUGCCAUCUUUACUCUGCCUUAUGCCUGUUCCUGUUCUCCGAUCCAUGCUGUCAAAAGUGGUUCUCCCCAGUGAGCAGGGUGCUGUGUUUGCUUGUAUAGCCUGUUUAGAAGUUGUGACUGGCACUAUUUCACUUUCAGUCUUUAAUGUUAUCUAUGCAGCUACUGUUGCAUGGUUUUCAGGCUUUAGCUUCCUCUUGUCAGCCAGCCUGUGUCUAAUUCCACUGGGUGUACUGUGCUGGCUUCUGUGCACAAGCUGGAAUCGGGAGGACUUGGCUCUGCUUGUACCUGAAGAAGUAUCCAGCAUAGACAGCGUUGAUAGUUGAACAGAGGAGUCACCAACUAUUUGGCUUUUCUAAUCUGACAUGCAGUGGCAGAGACCAUUGUGUCAUACUGAGACCAUAGAGAUAACUCAAGAGUUGCAGAUGAAAUCUAAAACUGGCCCUGCAGCAAUAAGCACUGAAUUGAUAGCACUCUACAUCCAGUCUUUUUUUAGCACUUGGAUAAACCUAUCUCCUGUACUUAACUAUGUGGAUAGGCUGGCAAUGGAGAUUUUAAUGCUGCUUUCAGCAUGGAGAAAAAAGUAAGUUCUUGAUGUGGCUUUUGGCAAACAGGCAACGGGAGGACUGGUGGAGUAACUCUUCUGUAAACAGAAGCAGCAGCACUAUGCUAUCGUCUGUUUGUGCAGUCACAGCAAACAAGCAGCAGCACAGGAAGAUGUGCUUUUGCUUCCCUCCUGUGCUGGGGGAGAGGAAAGGAUGCUGCCCAGAACACCGGCACCAACAGGAACUACAGAACAGGGACAGCACUGCUGUCUGCCAGAGAUCAGUGUGGGGGCUGCAGUGCUGCAUGCUAGACCCAAGCACUUGAGAGCACCUUCCUCCCCCGGCCCAGGCCGAGUCCCAGCAGAGCCCCAGCAGCAGGGCUGACCCAGCUGGCUGCACACCUCACGUGGCACGCCUCUGCUCAGGCCAUGCAGCAGCCUUACAGAAAGAAGCCUGGAGGGACAGGGGGAAGGGGCUGGGGGAAGAAAGACCAGCCGCCACCUCAACCAAUUUAGCAGUAACCCUUCCUUUUAAUCCCAAAAGUGCUUUGCUUCAGUUUGACUCCCAUUACUUUAACAGCAUGCCACGUAAGUUCUUGUACAUGCUUCAUACACACGCCAUUUGCUUUCUAGCCAGGCUAACUCCUAAAUUUAGCUUCCUUACAGACAUGAUGAACAAUGCAGCUCCCCUGCUCUGAAUAUGGUUUGAUCUCACCCUGUCCUGAGCCUACUGCACCACAGUCUAGUGAAACCCAACCUGCUUGCUCUACAACAGCUUGCUCUUCCUUUAUACAUAACCACCAAGAAAUUUCAAUCACGUAUAUUGAAUAUGAGCAGAAUUUCCUGCUAGUUUAAAGUAUACCAGCUCACAGAAAGAACAGCUACAUAAAACAUUGAGUAGGUCUACACUUUCAUGUUGAAUUUAUCAGUCCUUUCAUAUAACCUCACUAAGGCAACAAAUACAACUGAGGACUUAACUUGUAUUUCAUAAGAAAACCUCUAAUCUCUCCAACUCUUAAAAGGCAAUAUUCUUAAAAGGCAAUUUUAAGUUUCUUUUCUUAAAAUGAACAAAACAGCCAGUAAAUUAUCUUGUGUCAUCUCAGUGUUUUUAAUUUGCUGCAACAUUUUGCAAUAAAUAUGCACCAUGAAAUUUACAUGAGGAUAGUUAGAGGCUGUAGUGCAUAUGGGUAAGGGGUUUAUGGCAAUUUUAAGCAUACUGAAAAGCCCAAGAGAUGCC